GACGGAGCGAGCACGCCCCACGAGGUUGCGGAGUGGCGCGCGCUCGCGCAGUCACAGCGACACGGCUCUUGUUCAGAUGUUUAGAAGGUCAUGAUGUGAAAUAACAUGGAACAAUAUGAGCCGAACACUGUGGGUCGCCCUGAGACGCAUCAUUCUCAUCAUCGUGACAGCUAUUGAAAUUAUCAAUUCAAUCUGCCAAAUGAGGAAGAAGCCAGAUGACUAAAUAAACCGUGAUGCCGUUGCACACAUGCAGGUUCGGAGCUGCGGCGCAGCUCAUGCCGCUUAUUCGCCCCCCACCCCCCCUCAAACUUUGGGAGAAAUCCCCAUCAGCCUAUCAAACAACCUCACAGAUAAUAUCUCAAGGAGCUGGAGACGUCAUAGCUUUUAGUCCCAUUAAUCGCUCAACCACUGCAGACCCCCCCCCCCCCUCCUCUGCUCUCAGAGGGGUGAAGAUUAGGACAAGUGCCAUAAUCGUCACAGGCCAAGCAUGAGGAGCAGCGUCGACUCUGGGGGUAAAACGUCUCCCCUAUGGAAGAGAGACAAACAGCAGCAGGUCUGCAGCCGAGCAGCACGAAGAGGGGAGAAUGAAGCGAGAUUCAAGAUGCUAAUGCUAAAAUGGAAAAAGGCCGAGCUCCUCUGGGGUCACUGGUCUUUCCGACCCGGAGUGGAGCGAGUGCUCAGUGCUCCAGGUUUUUGGGUCACUCAUUAUGAUGUUGCAACUAACAUGACACCGUAAACCAUAUAACACCACGCUAUCUGAAAGCCAGGGCACGAUUUACCAUCACUGGAUAAUAUUUCAGACUUGUUUAACAGAUGUUAAUGUAAAAACAGCAUUAAUUCACAGCUCGAUGAUGUUUACAGUGGCCAUGAUAGAAAAUAACAUUUACACUCCAAUACUAUUUUAUACUAAUUCAUACCCUGUUAUGUUUUAGAGGGAAUUCCCUUUACUGAGAUUAUUAUUAUAACAAGACAAUAAAAAUGUGCUGCUUAGAUGUUAGUGCAUCUAUUGAAUCCUCCUCCUCCGUUAUUUACAUCUAUUUAUGUAUUAAUAUUGCUUAAACAUUUUAUAGUUACCAUUUUUUAUGCUUUAUAAACCUGCUCCUGAGCUGAUUACCU
Long non-coding RNA from Betta splendens (Siamese fighting fish), 1116 nucleotides. RefSeq lists it as uncharacterized. The record is from RefSeq and is a predicted model, not a curated record. NCBI's taxonomy places the organism in Eukaryota, Metazoa, Chordata, Actinopteri, Anabantiformes, Osphronemidae. The transcript has 3 exons.